GGUAUAUUUGUAACAAGGGUACAGCCCGAAGGACCAGCAUCAAAAUUACUACAGCCAGGAGAUAAAAUUAUUCAGGCUAAUGGCUACAGUUUUAUCAACAUUGAACAUGGACAAGCAGUGUCCUUGUUAAAAACUUUCCAUAAUGCAGUAGAACUCAUCAUUGUACGAGAAGUUUCUUCAUAAGCAGUAUAGACAAAAAAAAAAAAAAAAUGGGGACGAUAGCAAGAUUAUUGAAGACACAAGGGAAAUGACUAUUUUGCUUAUUUUUAUAUAUAAAGAAGAACAAAAACUGUUGGCUUGGAACUUGUACAUUACUGAAAUAAUGGAGCUUGUGCUUAGAGGGAAGAACCACUCACUGUACAGAAGAUGAAAGAGACUCUUGGAUUCAAAUCAUUUAAGAUUUGUUGUUAGGUUUUUAAACUUAGCAAAUCAAGGCUACAAAAACAAAGUUCUGUUGUUUUUGUAUAGAUUGUAGGUUUAUUUUUGGAUUUCAUACACAUGACUGACUGUAUGCAAGGCAAUAGUUAGCCUUGAUUGUAGCCCAGAGACAGAUUGCAGUGCUCUCUGUCUCCUAGCUUUUGUGUCCUAACUUUUAUCCAACUGGUAUUAAUGGUUUUUCUGCCGAACUACUUUUUCCUUGUGGUAAGAGAUUUGAAGUGUUGGCUUUUGCUAUGUGCAUACUGAAGAGUGAGUACAUGAAGUUGGUGCUGGUGGGUUCACUUUUCAAGGCCAGAUUAAAGCAUUAUUUCCUAUAAAAAUCUGAGGCAAAUGGUGAAAAAAAGUUAUCUGAUAAUGUAUUUUUAUUAAUAGAAUAAUGCAAUAAAAUACGUAAUGUCUUUUUAAAAGACAAUAAUUGCAUUUUAUGAGCUCUACAAGAUCGAUUCUUGUCAUAGCUAUUGACUAUACAUUUGCUACUGGUGAUUCAAUUUUUAAUUUUUUAGUUACUGAAGUUUUUAACUAUGUAGAUGCAUGUCCACGCAUUUCUCAUACUAUGAAGUUCUGAUACUUUUUUCUUUGAUAAAUGGUGGUACUUGCAACCUCAUUUUUAUAAUUAGCACUCCAUCAUAACCUAAUUUAUAAUUUUUGUUAUAAUAAGCAAAUGAAACUAAAAAGCCAGUUUUAAGUUUUGUGUCUCACCCAUAAUAUAAAAUAUCAGAAGGUUUCAGAAAGCCUCUUGGUUUUGUUGGCCUGGCGUUGCCUUGGUAAAGUGAGAGGAAACGUGAGUGUGCAUGGAGCUAGGAAACCAAAGCAAGUCGGUGAGACUGACACAGCGAUAGAGAAUUGCCGCGGAGAGCAGACGGAUGGUCCCGACUAGCUAAAGCACCACCUACAUUAUUUUUACAAAUGAGUCGGACUCAUUUCCAUUUCUAGUCAAAAUAGUCAGCACUUUUAAAAAUAUUUGAACUUCAAUAUUGCACUUCUUUCAAGCUGUUAUCAAUUGGGUAUUGUACUGUAUAGUUUUAAUAAUUUUGAUUGAAACCCUUUAACAACUCUUUGUAAAUUUUAACUCAUUUUUAGUUGAUUUUCAGUACUUUUACAUAGGAAUUGAUUUUUAUGAAUAUAGUAGAAGAAAUGUGCUGUAUUUUGAUAAAAUUCACUUGUAUGUGUUGUAAUCUCUUAAACAAAGAAUGACAAACAGCUUCUUUAAUACACGUCUCGGUGUUCCCUUUAUUCUUACUCUAUGUUGGCGUUGUAAGAAUGUCACAUUCUCCCUGUAUUGGCUUCACAUUUUCACAAUCACUUUUAAUUAGGAAUAAUUAAGAUACAUAAAGUCGCACAAUCUCAGUGACCUUUACUUGGAUCGUUGAUUAUAACUUUGCAGAAGGAGUUAGGCUUCACAGAAUCAGCUUCUCUGGUGAUCCACUGCUUAUUCCAUUGAAAUAACUGAGGGCAGCAGCUGUUGUGUGUACUAGCAUUCCGUUCCACUGUAGUUCAUUGUAGGGGCUGCAGUGUUCUUGAAGGUCAGGUAAGAAACUUUGUUGUCCAGGUUUGGAGUAACAUAGAAUAAAAAUAAAAAAAAAUUAAAUAGU
This 2030-nucleotide long non-coding RNA is filed under the name Rattus norvegicus (Norway rat). Its description in RNAcentral is "long non-coding RNA NONRATT016062". The record is from RNAcentral. Lineage: Eukaryota; Metazoa; Chordata; Mammalia; Rodentia; Muridae.